RNAcentral lists this ribosomal RNA (482 nucleotides) under uncultured bacterium. RNAcentral's name for it is "partial 16S ribosomal RNA". It matches the Rfam family "Bacterial small subunit ribosomal RNA", at positions 30 to 507 of the family's 1533-position model. The record is from RNAcentral.
AUUGAACGCUGGCGGCAUGAUUUACACAUGCAAGUCGAACGGUAACAGGCCGCAAGGUGCUGACGAGUGGCGAACGGGUGAGUAAUGCAUCGGAACGUGCCCAGUCGUGGGGGAUAACUACUCGAAAGAGUAGUUAAUACCGCAUACGAUCUAUGGAUGAAAGCGGGGGACCGUAAGGCCUCGCGCGAUUGGAGCGGCCGAUGUCAGAUUAGGUAGUUGGUGGGGUAAAGGCUCACCAAGCCAACGAUCUGUAGCUGGUCUGAGAGGACGACCAGCCACACUGGGACUGAGACACGGCCCAGACUCCUACGGGAGGCAGCAGUGGGGAAUUUUGGACAAUGGGCGCAAGCCUGAUCCAGCAAUGCCGCGUGCAGGAAGAAGGCCUUCGGGUUGUAAACUGCUUUUGUACGGAACGAAACGGCUCUGGUUAAUACCCGGGGCUAAUGACGGUACCGUAAGAAUAAGCAUCGGCUAACUACGUG